RNAcentral lists this ribosomal RNA (460 nucleotides) under uncultured bacterium. RNAcentral describes it as "partial 16S ribosomal RNA". It matches the Rfam family "Bacterial small subunit ribosomal RNA", at positions 338 to 795 of the family's 1533-position model. The record is from RNAcentral.
CCUACGGGUGGCAGCAGUGAGGAAUAUUGGUCAAUGGACAAGAGUCUGAACCAGCCAAGUAGCGUGAAGGAUGACUGCCCUAUGGGUUGUAAACUUCUUUUAUAUGGGAAUAAAAUGUUCCACGUGUGGGAUUUUGUAUGUACCAUAUGAAUAAGGAUCGGCUAACUCCGAGCCAGCAGCCGCGGUAAUACGGAGGAUCCGAGCGUUAUCCGGAUUUAUUGGGUUUAAAGGGAGCGUAGGUGGAUUGUUAAGUCAGUUGUGAAAGUUUGCGGCUCAACCGUAAAAUUGCAGUUGAAACUGGCAGUCUUGAGUACAGUAGAGGUGGGCGGAAGUCGUGGUGUAGCGGUGAAAUGCUUAGAUAUCACGAAGAACUCCGAUUGCGAAGGCAGUUCACUGGACUGCAACUGACACUGAGGCUCGAAAGUGUGGGUAUCAAACAGGAUUAGAUACCCCAGUAGUC